RNAcentral lists this ribosomal RNA (468 nucleotides) under uncultured bacterium. RNAcentral describes it as "partial 16S ribosomal RNA". It matches the Rfam family "Bacterial small subunit ribosomal RNA", at positions 28 to 507 of the family's 1533-position model. The record is from RNAcentral.
GACGAACGCUGGCGGCGUGCUUAACACAUGCAAGUCGAACGGAAAGGCCCUGCUUUUGUUGGGUUCUCGAGUGGCGAACGGGUGAGUAACACGUGAGUAACCUGCCCUUGACUUUGGGAUAACUUCAGGAAACUGGGGCUAAUACCGGAUAGGAGCUCCUGCUGCAUGGUGGGGGUUGGAAAGUUUCGGCGGUUGGGGAUGGACUCGCGGCUUAUCAGCUUGUUGGUGGGGUAGGGGCUUUCCAAGGCUUUGACGGGUAGCCGGCCUGAGAGGGUGAACGGCCACAUUGGGACUGAGAUACGGCCCAGACUCCUACGGGAGGCAGCAGUGGGGAAUAUUGCACAACGGGCGGAAGCCUGAGGCAGCAACGCCGGGUGCGGGAUGACGGCCUUCGGGUUGUAAACCGAUUUCGCCUGUGACGAAGCGUGAGUGACGGUAAUGGGUAAAGAAGCACCGGCUAACUACGUG